AUACGGAGGGUGCAAGCGUUGUUCGGAAUCACUGGGCGUAAAGCGCGUGUAGGCGGCUUAGUAGGUCAGAUGUGAAAGCCCUCGGCUCAACCGGGGAAGUGCAUUUGAAACCACUAGGCUUGAGUACGGGAGAGGGAAGCGGAAUUCCUAGUGUAGAGGUGAAAUUCGUAGAUAUUAGGAAGAACAUCCGUGGCGAAGGCGGCUUCCUGGACCGAUACUGACGCUGAGACGCGAAAGCGUGGGGAGC
This 247-nucleotide ribosomal RNA is filed under the name uncultured bacterium. Its description in RNAcentral is "partial 16S ribosomal RNA". It matches the Rfam family "Bacterial small subunit ribosomal RNA", at positions 523 to 769 of the family's 1533-position model. The record is from RNAcentral.